CCAGAGGGCCGGGCGGCCGCGGGCGGCGUGAGCCGCGCGAGGAAAGUCCGGGCUCCAUGGAACGACGGUGCCGGGUAACGCCCGGCGGGGGUGACCCCAGGGACAGUGCCACAGAAAGCAAUCCGCCGGCCUUCGGGCCGGUCAGGUCGAAAGGGUGGGGUAAGAGCCCACCGCGCGCCCGGCAACGGGAGCGGCAUGGUAAACCCCACCGGGAGCAAGACCGAAUAGGGGCGGCACAUGGGCUUCGUUCCAGCCCGUCGCCCGGGUUGGUUGCUUGAGCGGCGGAGCGAUCCGUCGCCUAGAGGAAUGGUCGCACAGGCGGUUUCGGCCGCCGGACAGAACCCGGCUUACAGGCCCUCUGGCUCU
This 366-nucleotide RNase P RNA is filed under the name Sphingosinicella sp. LHD-64. RNAcentral's name for it is "RNase P RNA component class A". It matches the Rfam family "Bacterial RNase P class A". Rfam says of the family: Ribonuclease P (RNase P) is a ubiquitous endoribonuclease, found in archaea, bacteria and eukarya as well as chloroplasts and mitochondria. Its best characterised activity is the generation of mature 5'-ends of tRNAs by cleaving the 5'-leader elements of precursor-tRNAs. The record is from RNAcentral. Lineage: Bacteria; Pseudomonadati; Pseudomonadota; Alphaproteobacteria; Sphingomonadales; Sphingosinicellaceae.